Non-coding RNA from Bos taurus (domestic cattle), 72 nucleotides. The record is from Rfam. NCBI's taxonomy places the organism in Eukaryota, Metazoa, Chordata, Mammalia, Artiodactyla, Bovidae.
UCCCUGAUAUCUCAGUUGGUAAAGAAUCUGCCUGCAACGCAGGAAACCCCGGUUCGAUUCCUGGGUUGGGAA